GUUUGAUAAAUAAAAAAAAUAAUUAACUAGUCAACCUAAUUUUUGUAAACAAAAAAAUAGCAACUCACAGAAUCAAGUCCCUCGUGCAGCUGUUGCUCGCUUUACGAUGAUGCAGAAGUAGAAGCUUCCUCUUGCCUUCUACGAGACAGAAGCGUUUUUAAUACCCCGAUCGAAAUAUAUGUCAAGACUAUAAUUGGUUUAUCACAUUAAUAUGUGCAACUAUCAAGAGGCAAAUUAAGCAACUCCUGCCGGAAACAAAUUGAAAAACUAGUGCAGCACCCUCAUAUUCUUUAGUUGUAAAAAAUUUGUAAGUAUAGACUGUAGGGCGUCAGAGUAUGCGACCCUGCGUCGCCCAACACUGGUAAAAACGCGCAAAACGGAUGUUUAUCGUUGGCGAACUAACCCGUAACUUAUGCCCUAAAUGAGGUAUCAAAUUAAUGGCUGUAAAGUCCUCUAUACGAAAAGUUAAUAUUACUUCAUGAAAGCCUGCCGGAAAGAGGUGACAGGCAAUUGAGCGCACUUUUGAAUAUCUUUUGUGUUAUUAUUACCUCAGGAAGUCAAUUCUACAAUAUAUUGGAAAACAAAUUCCUUUUAGUUGUCGAAAUCUAAGAUAUAUACGGGAAGAAAUGGAAUUGUUUCAGGAUAUUGUAGGAAAGCAAACAAUGGCAUUAUACGUAGGUUCUUACAAAGUAGCUAACUGAUGUAUGGAACUUACCUUGCGUAGGCCUAUCCACAGGUUAAAUCAGCACAGCUGCACUAGCAUGGAAUGAGAAGACACCCUGUAAUCUCCCCAUCAUUAGACGGAUUGGUCCCAGGAAGUCACCGUGGUGCCUGAGGAUUAACGAUGCGAAUAACCCCCAGGUUCGGGCCUAUCCAAAUCCAUAGGCGUUCAACUCGGUACUACUUCACGAAAUAAGCGCCUGCCGCGCAGCUCCCUAACCCACUAUGCAGGCUAUUAACCAACUGUCUCCUCGAAUCCGACAUCAACUGGCAGGGAAGGAAUCGAAAUUAAACUCGUGGGCACCACACCUCCGAGGUAACGGUAUAGGAAUUCCGAUGGGCAUUAACUACUCCGAAAUCCUCCUCGCUAGAUGAUAUCCGAUUUGCCGUAAACGCGGUGUCUCCGGACAUCCUUUCAGCCUCCUAGCCCGCCUGAGCUACUACGCUUUUCCCAUCUACUGUGCUUUUGCCUAGUGUGUGCAGCCCCCUAAUGGGUCAGACUGCACACCAGAUCCACGUACAGCUGUUCUGUCCAACAGGCCGUAAAGGGUCAACAUACCCUCGACUAUAUGACCCCACCUUAUGCACACUACUUUUCCAGAACUCUUAAAUCGCUUUGGGAAUGAGCAUAGAGAACCUCCCAGAGGACUACUGACUUUUUGGUGUUUGUCGCGGUUUCCAUCACAGAAGGUGUCGGUGAUCGCACCAGGAGAACCUCCAUUUCGGGGGACAAGUUACGUAUACAUAUGUCGACGGGGAUGGGCUCACCUACCGCGUCUGUGCUGAGUUUACACCGCGUUCGAAUAUCAGUUUCGUCGAUGACCGUAGGCUACUUCCCACUUGAAUUUUGCUUUCAGGUGCUUGGGGGUCAUGUAGCUUUGCCAUAACGUGCGUAUGAGCACUGAACCUCCCUCGAGGUGAGGGGAGUUCUCAUAUAGCAAGGUUGACUUUUCGGGUAAAGGUCAUAAAGAUAUUUAAUUUAAUUCCUCAUAUAGUACAUUACUAUAUAAACCGCCAAUAAUGGGACCGCGAGGUUACUAGUUAGAAUCGACUUUUCCGAUAGAUGACAUCAUGAUCAUUCAUGCGAUACCUUAUUUGGGACGCAACUCUAUGGUUAUAGUUUGCCAACAAUCAACAUGGCUGUGCAACAAGGUUAACCGGCGCAGGGUCGCAUAUUCUGACGCCAUACACUACUCUCUACACGUACAUGUAUUUUUUAUUACAAAAAAUCAUGGAUGUACUAGUUUUCCAAUUUCUUAAGUCAUUCCGAACAGGGUUGUCGUUUCAUGGUUCCGUGCAUUAAGAGGGGGGGGGGUCGCUUUUAUACCAGUGUUUUUAAUUAAAAAAAAUCGAAAUACAGGAAAUUAAACUCAUCCCAUUGCUUUUAUUUAUUCGACGUUCAACUGAAACACUAAUCAAAUUAAAAAUUAAGCACUGUAGCUGCAUCUGUGAUUCUAUGAUUAUUAUUGUCCAACAUGACAGUUAACAAAUAACAAUUUAUUUUAUAAGAACCAAACGCUAGCAAUUAUAUAUAUGUAUAUACACAUCAAUUAGUUUAAUUACCUGCUACAGGAGAGAGCAAAUAAAAAUUUAAUUUAUCCCUUUUUGAAAAAUUUUAUUUACUUAACAUGUAGAAAUACAGAACAUAUAUAACUGUACAACUUACCUUACAUUAAUUGCAAAUGAAUGCAUGUAGAAUUACAAAAAUAAUAAUUUUAAUAAACGUAUACAAAUAAAAUACUUUAUUUGAUUAUUAACAAGCAACUUCAUAUUAAUUUUCUCAAAAAAUCAAUGUUUUUGAGAAUCAGGUUUACUUGGUGUGAUUAAACCAGUCGAACACCCGCAUUAAGCUGAACAAUAGAAAAGAAAAAAUAAAAACAAUGCUAAAACACUACUAAAUCAAUAAAACAAUUUUAUUAUUGAUUAUGAGUAAUAAAUUAAAAUAAAUCUUAACAUGCGCUCCAAAAAAUAGAAAUAAAAUCAUCAGCAUCUUUCUUCUGUUGUCAAAUUUUAAGGGCAUAAACUAUUUAAAUCAAUACAAUUAUGCAAAGUUCAUCUUUUUUCAGUCCAUUGUAUACUAUUAUAAAAUACUUCUUGGUUGGGUAAGUCGUUUUUGUUGUA
Long non-coding RNA from Agrilus planipennis (emerald ash borer), 2841 nucleotides. RefSeq lists it as uncharacterized. The transcript is spliced from 2 exons. Lineage: Eukaryota; Metazoa; Arthropoda; Insecta; Coleoptera; Buprestidae. The record is from RefSeq and is a predicted model, not a curated record.